GAUGAACGCUGGCGGCGUGCCUAAUACAUGCAAGUCGAGCGAACGGACGAGAAGCUUGCUUUUCUGAUGUUAGCGGCGGACGGGUGAGUAACACGUGGAUAACCUACCUAUAAGACUGGGAUAACUUCGGGAAACCGGGGCUAAUACCGGAUAAUAUUUCGAACCGCAUGGUUCAAAAGUGAAAGACGGUCUUGCUGUCACUUAUAGAUGGAUCCGCGCUGCAUUAGCUAGUUGGUAAGGUAACGGCUUACCAAGGCAACGAUGCAUAGCCGACCUGAGAGGGUGAUCGGCCACACUGGAACUGAGACACGGUCCAGACUCCUACGGGAGGCAGCAGUAGGGAAUCUUCCGCAAUGGGCGAAAGCCUGACGGAGCAACGCCGCGUGAGUGAUGAAGGUCUUCGGAUCGUAAAACUCUGUUAUUAGGGAAGAACAUAUGUGUAAGUAACUGUGCACAUCUUGACGGUACCUAAUCAGAAAGCCACGGCUAACUACGUG
This 497-nucleotide ribosomal RNA is filed under the name uncultured bacterium. Its description in RNAcentral is "partial 16S ribosomal RNA". It matches the Rfam family "Bacterial small subunit ribosomal RNA", at positions 28 to 507 of the family's 1533-position model. The record is from RNAcentral.